This 241-nucleotide long non-coding RNA is filed under the name Ananas comosus (pineapple). RNAcentral describes it as "long non-coding RNA (ACOM_LNC020530)". Lineage: Eukaryota; Viridiplantae; Streptophyta; Magnoliopsida; Poales; Bromeliaceae. The record is from RNAcentral.
CGAGAAUGCGCUGACACUUGGGGAGGGCGAAACGCGUGAAUUUACUUGCGAAACGGAUUUCCAGCCUGGCAGUAAGCCAGCAACGUAUGCCCUUUUUGUCGCUUUCGCAGACUCGUAACGCUCGUCGCUAGAAGGAUUUGGUUGUAUUAAUUUGGAUUUUUCCGGUAAGCGAGAAAGUAUUAGUUGCGCACUAACUCAGUAGUUGGUGUGUCGGCGCUAGGGUAAAAGACUCGAAAGUUUU